GAUGAACGCUGGCGGCGUGCCUAAUACAUGCAAGUCGAGCGAACGGACGAGAAGCUUGCUUCUCUGAUGUUAGCGGCGGACGGGUGAGUAACACGUGGAUAACCUACCUAUAAGACUGGGAUAACUUCGGGAAACCGUAGCUAAUACCGGAUAAUAUUUUGAACCGCAUGGUUCAAAAGUGAAAGACGGUCUUGCUGUCACUUAUAGAUGGAUCCGCGCUGCAUUAGCUAGUUGGUAAGGUAACGGCUUACCAAGGCAACGAUGCAUAGCCGACCUGAGAGCGUGAUCGGCCACACUGGAACUGAGACACGGUCCAGACUCCUACGGGAGGCAGCAGUAGGGAAUCUUCCGCAAUGGGCGAAAGCCUGACGGAGCAACGCCGCGUGAGUGAUGAAGGUCUUCGGAUCGUAAAACUCUGUUAUUAGGGAAGAACAUAUGUGUAAGUAACUGUGCACAUCUUGACGGUACCUAAUCAGAAAGCCACGGCUAACUACGUG
RNAcentral lists this ribosomal RNA (497 nucleotides) under uncultured bacterium. RNAcentral describes it as "partial 16S ribosomal RNA". It matches the Rfam family "Bacterial small subunit ribosomal RNA", at positions 28 to 507 of the family's 1533-position model. The record is from RNAcentral.